GGGUUGUGAGGUUAAGCGACUAAGCGUACACGGUGGAUGCCCUGGCAGUCAGAGGCGAUGAAGGACGUGCUAAUCUGCGAUAAGCGUCGGUAAGGUGAUAUGAACCGUUAUAACCGGCGAUUUCCGAAUGGGGAAACCCAGUGUGAUUCGUCACACUAUCAUUAACUGAAUCCAUAGGUUAAUGAGGCGAACCGGGGGAACUGAAACAUCUAAGUACCCCGAGGAAAAGAAAUCAACCGAGAUUCCCCCAGUAGCGGCGAGCGAACGGGGAGCAGCCCAGAGCCUGAAUCAGUGUGUGUGUUAGUGGAAGCGUCUGGAAAGGCGUGCGAUACAGGGUGACAGCCCCGUACACAAAAAUGCACAUAUUGUGAGCUCGAUGAGUAGGGCGGGACACGUGGUAUCCUGUCUGAAUAUGGGGGGACCAUCCUCCAAGGCUAAAUACUCCUGACUGACCGAUAGUGAACCAGUACCGUGAGGGAAAGGCGAAAAGAACCCCGGCGAGGGGAGUGAAAAAGAACCUGAAACCGUGUACGUACAAGCAGUGGGAGCACGCUUAGGCGUGUGACUGCGUACCUUUUGUAUAAUGGGUCAGCGACUUAUAUUCUGUAGCAAGGUUAACCGAAUAGGGGAGCCGAAGGGAAACCGAGUCUUAACUGGGCGUUAAGUUGCAGGGUAUAGACCCGAAACCCGGUGAUCUAGCCAUGGGCAGGUUGAAGGUUGGGUAACACUAACUGGAGGACCGAACCGACUAAUGUUGAAAAAUUAGCGGAUGACUUGUGGCUGGGGGUGAAAGGCCAAUCAAACCGGGAGAUAGCUGGUUCUCCCCGAAAGCUAUUUAGGUAGCGCCUCGUGAAUUCAUCUCCGGGGGUAGAGCACUGUUUCGGCAAGGGGGUCAUCCCGACUUACCAACCCGAUGCAAACUGCGAAUACCGGAGAAUGUUAUCACGGGAGACACACGGCGGGUGCUAACGUCCGUCGUGAAGAGGGAAACAACCCAGACCGCCAGCUAAGGUCCCAAAGUCAUGGUUAAGUGGGAAACGAUGUGGGAAGGCCCAGACAGCCAGGAUGUUGGCUUAGAAGCAGCCAUCAUUUAAAGAAAGCGUAAUAGCUCACUGGUCGAGUCGGCCUGCGCGGAAGAUGUAACGGGGCUAAACCAUGCACCGAAGCUGCGGCAGCGACGCUUAUGCGUUGUUGGGUAGGGGAGCGUUCUGUAAGCCUGUGAAGGUGUGCUGUGAGGUAUGCUGGAGGUAUCAGAAGUGCGAAUGCUGACAUAAGUAACGAUAAAGCGGGUGAAAAGCCCGCUCGCCGGAAGACCAAGGGUUCCUGUCCAACGUUAAUCGGGGCAGGGUGAGUCGACCCCUAAGGCGAGGCCGAAAGGCGUAGUCGAUGGGAAACAGGUUAAUAUUCCUGUACUUGGUGUUACUGCGAAGGGGGGACGGAGAAGGCUAUGUUGGCCGGGCGACGGUUGUCCCGGUUUAAGCGUGUAGGCUGGUUUUCCAGGCAAAUCCGGAAAAUCAAGGCUGAGGCGUGAUGACGAGGCACUACGGUGCUGAAGCAACAAAUGCCCUGCUUCCAGGAAAAGCCUCUAAGCAUCAGGUAACAUCAAAUCGUACCCCAAACCGACACAGGUGGUCAGGUAGAGAAUACCAAGGCGCUUGAGAGAACUCGGGUGAAGGAACUAGGCAAAAUGGUGCCGUAACUUCGGGAGAAGGCACGCUGAUAUGUAGGUGAAGUCCCUUGCGGAUGGAGCUGAAAUCAGUCGAAGAUACCAGCUGGCUGCAACUGUUUAUUAAAAACACAGCACUGUGCAAACACGAAAGUGGACGUAUACGGUGUGACGCCUGCCCGGUGCCGGAAGGUUAAUUGAUGGGGUCAGCGCAAGCGAAGCUCUUGAUCGAAGCCCCGGUAAACGGCGGCCGUAACUAUAACGGUCCUAAGGUAGCGAAAUUCCUUGUCGGGUAAGUUCCGACCUGCACGAAUGGCGUAAUGAUGGCCAGGCUGUCUCCACCCGAGACUCAGUGAAAUUGAACUCGCUGUGAAGAUGCAGUGUACCCGCGGCAAGACGGAAAGACCCCGUGAACCUUUACUAUAGCUUGACACUGAACAUUGAGCCUUGAUGUGUAGGAUAGGUGGGAGGCUUUGAAGUGUGGACGCCAGUCUGCAUGGAGCCGACCUUGAAAUACCACCCUUUAAUGUUUGAUGUUCUAACGUGGACCCGUGAUCCGGGUUGCGGACAGUGUCUGGUGGGUAGUUUGACUGGGGCGGUCUCCUCCUAAAGAGUAACGGAGGAGCACGAAGGUUGGCUAAUCCUGGUCGGACAUCAGGAGGUUAGUGCAAUGGCAUAAGCCAGCUUGACUGCGAGCGUGACGGCGCGAGCAGGUGCGAAAGCAGGUCAUAGUGAUCCGGUGGUUCUGAAUGGAAGGGCCAUCGCUCAACGGAUAAAAGGUACUCCGGGGAUAACAGGCUGAUACCGCCCAAGAGUUCAUAUCGACGGCGGUGUUUGGCACCUCGAUGUCGGCUCAUCACAUCCUGGGGCUGAAGUAGGUCCCAAGGGUAUGGCUGUUCGCCAUUUAAAGUGGUACGCGAGCUGGGUUUAGAACGUCGUGAGACAGUUCGGUCCCUAUCUGCCGUGGGCGCUGGAGAACUGAGGGGGGCUGCUCCUAGUACGAGAGGACCGGAGUGGACGCAUCACUGGUGUUCGGGUUGUCAUGCCAAUGGCACUGCCCGGUAGCUAAAUGCGGAAGAGAUAAGUGCUGAAAGCAUCUAAGCACGAAACUUGCCCCGAGAUGAGUUCUCCCUGACCCUUUAAGGGUCCUGAAGGAACGUUGAAGACGACGACGUUGAUAGGCCGGGUGUGUAAGCGCAGCGAUGCGUUGAGCUAACCGGUACUAAUGAACCGUGAGGCUUAACCUUACAACGCCGAAG
Molecule: ribosomal RNA, 2925 nt
Filed under: Escherichia coli
Lineage: Bacteria; Pseudomonadati; Pseudomonadota; Gammaproteobacteria; Enterobacterales; Enterobacteriaceae
Description: bacterial LSU rRNA
Rfam family: Bacterial large subunit ribosomal RNA
Source: RNAcentral